This 283-nucleotide ribosomal RNA is filed under the name uncultured bacterium. RNAcentral describes it as "partial 16S ribosomal RNA". It matches the Rfam family "Bacterial small subunit ribosomal RNA", at positions 355 to 629 of the family's 1533-position model. The record is from RNAcentral.
UAGGGAAUCUUCGGCAAUGGGGGCAACCCUGACCGAGCAACGCCGCGUGAGUGAAGAAGGUUUUUCGGAUCGUAAAGCUCUGUUGUAAGUCAAGAACGGGUGUGAGAGUGGAAAGUUCACACUGUGACGGUAGCUUACCAGAAAGGGACGGCUAACUACGUGCCAGCAGCCGCGGUAAUACGUAGGUCCCGAGCGUUGUCCGGAUUUAUUGGACGUAAAGCGAGCGCAGGCGGUUUGAUAAGUCUGAAGUUAAAGGCUGUGGCUCAACCAUAGUUCGCUUUGG